Molecule: long non-coding RNA, 2373 nt
Organism: Drosophila biarmipes
Lineage: Eukaryota; Metazoa; Arthropoda; Insecta; Diptera; Drosophilidae
Exons: 3
Source: RefSeq, a predicted model, not a curated record
UUCAAUUCACCAUGAAUAAACUGUCAAAAAAGGUAAUUUUUUAAAUUUAAUAGUAUUAGUAUGUAUUUUAUCCAAAUUGUAAUGGUUUUUAUUGCUGUGAUUUUAAUCGUUGAGGACGUAGCACCCAACGGAACAGGUCCAUAUUCGGCCACCACGAUGAACUCAUCCCUCAAGGACGUUAAGCGGGCCAAGAGAGAUUUUUGGGACUUUCGGACUGGCUACGACCUUAGAAAAGGUGGAAGAGGUGGUGGUGGAAGAGGGAGUGGUGGUCGUGGCGGUGGUCGAAUACGUUGGGGAGGUGGUGGGCGUAAAGGUAGACGCUCAACUGGUUGUAGACAUCUUGACAAUGCUGCCCUUAUUCUCAUCCCAUCAAUUGUAAAUUGUAUAUCUUUUGAAACGUUUAAAUAUAAAUAAUUCUGUUAAUUUCAAUACAACAAUUUUUUAAAGCUUUGAAAAACUUGUUACUGUCUUGUAUAUAUUAACAAAAAUGAGUUAGUAUGAAUUCAAUCAAAAUUUUAAUUGUGACUACUUGUAUAAUUUUACUCUUUGAGAAUGUUAGGCAGACGGAAGCAAGCAGUUGCUCCACUCCACUACCCACCAACAUCUCUAACUCAUCUUUCAGGGCUUUAAGGCGAGCAAAAAGAGAAGGACGGUUGAACAUUGUGCCCUCAGAACAUGCCCGCAAAAAAAAAGAUUGGCACAAGUGGAUGCCGAGAAAGAAACGACGUAGAAUUCGUGGAGGAGGUGGACGUCGCAGUUCAACUACCUGUGGAACACCCAAAUAUGCCAUCCUUCCGUUUGUUAUUUUCUUGGUAAUUGGUUAGUUGGUUUCCAACUCAGGUUAAUCAGGGACUCACCUGAGUAGCUUCACGCGCUGGUCGAACAGCUGGAGCUGCUCAUCGGGCUGCGACUCCCACGUGGCCAGGAUCUUGUUGUCGAUCAGCGUGGCGAACAUUUGAGAUUCAAGGAAGCGCGAGAGGAAGGCGCGGUGGUGCUCCGGCUGAUCCGACAGAAACGAGGAUUUGUCGAAGUUCUGCAGCGUUUCGCGGUUCGAGAUCCAUUCGUCGCGCGCCUGGUUCGGGUAGAUCACGAAGUACUCGUAGGCAUGGAACAUGUGCACGAAUCGAUUGAGAAAGAUCUCCCGCACGGAGUUGUUGAUGCGCAGGUCCUGGUAGUACUGCUCCACCGGCGUCAGUUUCUGCUUCUCCGUGCGCCGGGCACUGGCUGGCAUGGUGGCGUCCACUGCAUCCACAUCGUGGUAGAUGCCAACCGGCGAGGAAGAGAGCGAGACGGUGGGACUGCCCACCGGGGAGCCAGCUCCCCGGAUGCCUCCCUUCCUGCGCAGAAAGUCCGCAAUGCGUGGCACGUGAUCAAUCCGCGAGGGAUGCGCUAUCAGCGGCUGGUAGUCCACCGCCCCACCUCCUGGCGAUCCCGACAGCGUGUAGACGGUCUCCUGCAGUUGCUGAAACCGCUCCUUGCUUCGGCGCACUGCCUGUAAACCGGUGGGCAGGGUGCAACUGGAGAUCAUGGCGUCGACACCACCUGCUCCGCCACUUCCGGAUCCGCCAACUCCUCCACCAGCUCCCCUGCCCACAUAGCCAUUCCGAAAGCUGGGCUCCUGAUCGCGGUCCCGGUCGAUCUCGAACUUGUCCAGCACCGAUCCGAUCUCGGCCAUGAAGUCCAUCUUGUGCGGGAAGACUGGGAGCUCCUCGGGCAGCUGGAUGUGCUUCUUGUCGAUGUCCACGAAGCAGAGAGUGGCCUCGCUGCCGAUCUUGUGGGCCGCUUCGCACUCGGCGUGCAGUCCCAUCACGAAGGGCACAGGCGCAUCCAAAAAGUGGUGGAGGGCUGCCGGCAGAAUGGGAGCAUAUACAUGCGGCCAAACGAAGGGGAACAGUAACGAGGUAAUGCACUCGCCUACGAUCAUGAGUCUUUGGUAGUCUGCAAGGGAAAGGGGGGAAAUGAAGCAUCUGUUUGGGCUCGUGGGAUAAUCCCUUGGCUAUACAUUUGAAACUAUAUCUUACCUGUGGACCGCAGCAGGACCUGAUUCUCUAGAAGGACGCAAGUCAGCAGCUGUAUCACACACUCCACGCCCAGGUACUUGAAGAGCAGCCGCAGCGGAAAGUCAAGGAGAGGCAACUCUGUAGCUAGAAGCGGACGCUGCAGGGUCACGGCAAUGGCGGGCAGAUGCGGCUCUGUGGGCGGCAGGUAAACGCGGAUGGACUUGCCCGGUUGCGGCAGCAUGACCUCGUAGAGAAUGUUGUACACGUAGGACUCUAAGCUUAUGCCAGCACCCGGCUGCCGAGGAAGACACCUAGUGAAAAGAAUAAACUUUAGUACAGAGAAUACGCCACGUAUCGAUUUCUCUCCCACUAA